Molecule: ribosomal RNA, 719 nt
Filed under: Salmonella enterica
Lineage: Bacteria; Pseudomonadati; Pseudomonadota; Gammaproteobacteria; Enterobacterales; Enterobacteriaceae
Description: bacterial SSU rRNA
Rfam family: Bacterial small subunit ribosomal RNA
Source: RNAcentral
AAAUUGAAGAGUUUGAUCAUGGCUCAGAUUGAACGCUGGCGGCAGGCCUAACACAUGCAAGUCGAACGGUAGCACAGAGAGCUUGCUCUCGGGUGACGAGUGGCGGACGGGUGAGUAAUGUCUGGGAAACUGCCUGAUGGAGGGGGAUAACUACUGGAAACGGUGGCUAAUACCGCAUAACGUCGCAAGACCAAAGAGGGGGACCUUCGGGCCUCUUGCCAUCAGAUGUGCCCAGAUGGGAUUAGCUUGUUGGUGAGGUAACGGCUCACCAAGGCGACGAUCCCUAGCUGGUCUGAGAGGAUGACCAGCCACACUGGAACUGAGACACGGUCCAGACUCCUACGGGAGGCAGCAGUGGGGAAUAUUGCACAAUGGGCGCAAGCCUGAUGCAGCCAUGCCGCGUGUAUGAAGAAGGCCUUCGGGUUGUAAAGUACUUUCAGCGGGGAGGAAGGUGUUGUGGUUAAUAACCACAGCAAUUGACGUUACCCGCAGAAGAAGCACCGGCUAACUCCGUGCCAGCAGCCGCGGUAAUACGGAGGGUGCAAGCGUUAAUCGGAAUUACUGGGCGUAAAGCGCACGCAGGCGGUCUGUCAAGUCGGAUGUGAAAUCCCCGGGCUCAACCUGGGAACUGCAUUCGAAACUGGCAGGCUUGAGUCUUGUAGAGGGGGGUAGAAUUCCAGGUGUAGCGGUGAAAUGCGUAGAGAUCUGGAGGAAUACCG